CCUACGGGUGGCAGCAGUGGGGAAUAUUGGACAAUGGGGGGAACCCUGAUCCAGCCAUGCCGCGUGUGUGAAGAAGGCCCUCGGGUUGUAAAGCACUUUCAGUGAGGAAGAACGCCUGGUGGUUAAUACCCAUCAGGAAAGACAUCACUCACAGAAGAAGCACCGGCUAACUCCGUGCCAGCAGCCGCGGUAAUACGGAGGGUGCGAGCGUUAAUCGGAAUUACUGGGCGUAAAGCGCGCGUAGGUGGCUUGAUAAGCCGGUUGUGAAAGCCCCGGGCUCAACCUGGGAACGGCAUCCGGAACUGUCAAGCUAGAGUGCAGGAGAGGAAGGUAGAAUUCCCGGUGUAGCGGUGAAAUGCGUAGAGAUCGGGAGGAAUACCAGUGGCGAAGGCGGCCUUCUGGACUGACACUGACACUGAGGUGCGAAAGCGUGGGUAGCAAACAGGAUUAGAUACCCCAGUGGUC
RNAcentral lists this ribosomal RNA (465 nucleotides) under Vreelandella stevensii. Its description in RNAcentral is "partial 16S ribosomal RNA". It matches the Rfam family "Bacterial small subunit ribosomal RNA", at positions 338 to 795 of the family's 1533-position model. The record is from RNAcentral. Lineage: Bacteria; Pseudomonadati; Pseudomonadota; Gammaproteobacteria; Oceanospirillales; Halomonadaceae.